Long non-coding RNA from Strigops habroptila (Kakapo), 2492 nucleotides. The record is from Ensembl. NCBI's taxonomy places the organism in Eukaryota, Metazoa, Chordata, Aves, Psittaciformes, Psittacidae.
UGGAAAACAGAUCUCUUUUAUUGUCCUUAACAAGCUUCUUUUAUAAGGCUGCAUGCAUACUUUAAGAUAACCGUGUACAAAGAUCAUUGGUUACAUAUUAAUUACCUAAUACAUAUUGCAAAAGCUAAGCUCCUUAUUUGCUGUUCUUCUUUGCUCUGUUUGUUCCGUCUCUUAGGGUUACAAGUUCUGCUUUUGUACUUUUCCACUGCAUGCCUCAGUUUCAUACUUGCUGACAGUAUCGGUUCUAACCGGAUCUACAUCCUGUUAUUGUAUAACCACAGGCUUCAAUGUCACAGUGUCCUUGCGGCCUAAACCUCUUCUAGUCGUAGCGCAUUAUGUUCUUUCUCCUGUGGUCCAUUCUUCAUGAGUUCCCACAAGCUUCCUUCAAUGAGCUGAGUUUCGCUGGAAGUCCUUUCAGGAUUAAACAAAUCAUUCCCUUCAUUUCCCCCUUCUUGUUGCACCAUAAGGACUCGUUUUACAGAGUUAGCUAUUAUCUUCUGCAGGCAUUGUAUAACACACGGUAAAAGCAAGAUUAGCAAUAAUAUUAUUAUUAUAACAACAGUUACCUUCUCUAAAAUUGUAAUCCACCAUCCGGACAAGCCUAAUGAGGAUAACCAGUCCGUGAAAGGAUCAUUACUUUCACGGAGUUUUUUCAUAUUAUCCCUCAAAAUGGAAAGCUGUUUGUGUAUUGAUUGGGAAUGGUCAGAAAGGUUCAUACAACACAUUCCUUCAAACUCUUCACACCCAUGUCCCUGUGCUAAGAGUAAGAAAUCAAUUGCGGCACGAUUCUGUAGCAAGGCAAGUCUUAUUCCUUGGACGUCACUGGCCAAUUCAGACAAAACGUCUGUUGUAACAUUAAUUUGUUUUCCAGUCCAACAUGCUAAUUUUCUCAGUUGCGUUAACGCCUGUGCUGAAGCUACCCCGGGGGCAAAUAUACUAGCUAAAAUAACUUCAGGGGGGUUCCAGAGUACCACUUCAUCCUUGCAAUCAUCACCUAAUUCUACAAGAGCUCUUUUACUGCGGUGGUUAUUUGUAUGAUUGGCUUGAAAGAUAUUAGUGAUACUCGGUGUAAAUAGUGUUAAACGGCCAAUAUAACAAGGUCCUCCCUUAGCACUUCGAGGAAUUCCCUGCCAAGCUCGAUCGCCACAGAUUAAAAACAUCCCAUCUGGCAGUCGUCCUGCAUUGGAGGUGAUCGUUGUAACAUUAACAAUUUUUUGACAAUAUGCUGAUAUAUUGUAAGGUCGAUAUGAUGUAACAUUAAUAGGAUCAUCUUGAUUGUUAUGGGAGUUAAACAAAAAACAUUGAUCAGAGGGAGCAGAGCCUAAAAGAUUAAAUUCCUGUACUUCUCUAGUCGUGGUACACAAAGAGCUUUUGCACUUCAUAAAAGGGGAAGAAGCGUUAAAAGUAAUAUUAUCCUUGUUACAGCGCGUGGGGCGCCAGAGAUUACCACAUGUUAUAACAAAAGGAUCAAGGGUGAUAGUAGAGUUAUUUAUCAAGGUCAUGUUAAUAGGGACUCCUAAUAAACAUGUUCUAAAAGGAUCAGAAGGAGUAGCCAUUGAGAGACAAAGGCUACUCUGGUUGAUUUUUUCUGCCCAAGUGACCCAGAGGUUUUUCCUGUCUUCUAUGUGUUUAAGGGUUUCCCAAGCUUUUAUGCCACUAAUGAGGAUGGAAACAAUGAUUCCCGGUAGGAGGCACAUCAUUCCAGGGCUACCCUUAAUUAGUCUCAUUUUCCUGUUUUAAAGGGUCGGUCCUGCUGCUUGAUUUUCCUUUUCCAGGCGAACCGCCUUUCACACUUUUUCUUGGUGCGCUCCCAGUCUUCUUUCGAGACUAGCCAGAUAGCAGGUACUAAAUUAGUUCGACUACAUUCUAAAUCACAAAUCUGUAUGAUUUUUGCCCUCUCAAUUACCCCUCUGUGCCAUUCAGCGCGGUAAUCAAAAAGGCGGCUGCUUUCUGAGGGUUCGUGCCCUGUUAUAAGUAAUAUUCUGACUGUUUCUAAUUCUCUUUCCAGGCAAGGAGAACACCAGCGCCUGGAGCGAGUCAAGCGGCACCACCACUCCUUGUCACAAGCGUAACACACACACACAGGGAUCACAACAUCCGCACAAACUGCAGGAAACCUUCCCAAGAAAUACUUCUCGGCGCCCAUGCACACAGCAGUUAUUCAUGUAAAGUACUCAAGUCUUCAGGGUCGGCUUCUUUUGUGAUAGGCUCUUCCAAGCGCUGUUCAGAAUCCUCGGACGAAAUCUUUGGCAAAGGUUCACGGAAUGGUCGCACGUUCUUUGCUGGGAUCCACCUGGGGCCUUUCUCUCUCACCUCUUUUCGGAGGGAUUAAUUGCCGGCCGGCUCCUGCUUCCUUUCAGCAGCUCACUCAACGUUCUGUGGGACUCGCAGCCUGCCACGCAGUUAGGUGGUUCACGAUCCCAUAUCACGUCGGGGUCACCAAUUUGCCGCGAUUGAGAGACGGAGACCCUGCUAGGUGGAAAACAGAUCUC